GCCGAUGUGGUGGAAUUGGUAGACACGCCAUCUUGAGGGGGUGGUGGGGAAACCCGUGCUGGUUCGACUCCAGUCAUCGGCACCA
This 85-nucleotide transfer RNA is filed under the name Zetaproteobacteria bacterium. Its description in RNAcentral is "tRNA-Leu". It matches the Rfam family "tRNA". From Rfam's summary of the family: Transfer RNA (tRNA) molecules are approximately 80 nucleotides in length. Their secondary structure includes four short double-helical elements and three loops (D, anti-codon, and T loops). Lineage: Bacteria; Pseudomonadati; Pseudomonadota; Candidatius Mariprofundia. The record is from RNAcentral.